Molecule: unclassified non-coding RNA, 428 nt
Filed under: Hevea brasiliensis (rubber tree)
Lineage: Eukaryota; Viridiplantae; Streptophyta; Magnoliopsida; Malpighiales; Euphorbiaceae
Source: RNAcentral
UGGUGUUAGAACCACAAUUACAUUUAUUCUUCAAGAUUCCGAAUGUCCUGAUAACAAUUAUUUAACUCAGAACAUUGGGGCAACAUGCUUCCUCUUCCAUUUCAGAGUUUGGCCCAUCUCCUUUGUUUCUUUACUGCUUGUACUCCAUGGUAACUUGUAUUGGGCCAUUCUUCUCUUCUUUGCUGCAACUCCCACAACAUCAUCAAACCUCUUGAAACAGAGGCCUUCAUAAACAUCACAAAUGGGAAAUUCAGAUGGGCAGCAAUAGUCUGAUCCAUGACAGCAAACACCAUUCUCAUAAGGACAACACUGAUGACGGAAGCAUAUGCCAAAGAAAUACAACUCACAACAACAUGUUUCAUAUUCAGGACAAUAAUACCAGUCUCCACAUUCACUUGGCUUAGGAUAAGGUGGUGGAGGGGGGGGAG